This 2159-nucleotide ribosomal RNA is filed under the name Candidatus Poribacteria bacterium. RNAcentral's name for it is "partial 23S ribosomal RNA". It matches the Rfam family "Bacterial large subunit ribosomal RNA", at positions 1 to 2025 of the family's 2925-position model. The record is from RNAcentral. Lineage: Bacteria; Candidatus Poribacteria.
UAUCAAGCUACUAAGGGCUUACGGUGGAUGCCUUGGUGCCAGGAGACGACGAAGGGCGUGACAGGCUGCGAUAAGCUUCGGGGAGCCGCUUAAUAGGCUUUGAUCCGGAGAUUCCCGAAUCGGGCAACCGAGCAGGUUAAUCCCUGCUACUCGUGUUUACACGAGGGACAACCAGGAGAAGUGAAACAUCUCAGUACCCUGAGGAAAAGAAAGAAAACCUCGAUUCCCCCAGUAGCGGCGAGCGAAAAGGGAACAGCCCAAACCCGAUAUAUGUUCAAGCCUGAACGCGUUGUAUAUCGGGGGUUGCGGGGUUCGUCGGGUGUGGGUUCAGACACACCGGAAGUAAACGUACCGCUAGCUUAAUGCCUCUGGAAAGAGCAACCGGAGCGGGUAAAAGUCCCGUGAGCGAAAGCGGUGGCGCACUUCUUGACGAGCACCCCAAGUACUACGGGAUAGGCAAACCUGUAGGAAUCUAGGAGGACCACCUCCUAAGGCUAAAUACUCCCUGGCGACCGAUAGUGAACGAAGUACUGUGAAGGAAGUGGUGAAAAGUUCCCCCAUUAGGGAAGUGAAAAGCCCCUGAAACCGUAUAGCCUACAAGCUGUGGUAGUGCUAAGUCACGCAAGUGACAUGCAUGACCGCGUGCCUUUUGCAUAAUGAGCCGGCGACUUACUCUGUGUAGCAAGAUUAAGCAUUUUUGAUGCGGAGUCGUAGCGAAAGCGAGUCUGAAUAGGGCGUUGAGUUGCAUGGAGUAGACCCGAAACCAGGUGAUCUAUCCAUAGGCAAGGUGAAGCAUAUGUAAAAAUAUGUGGAGGCCUGAACCCACCAAGGCUGAAAACUUGGGGGAUGACCCGUGGAUCGGAGUGAAAGGCUAAUCAAACCUGGUGAUAGCUGGUUCUCCCCGAAAUAGCUUUAGGGCUAGCCUUAUGCGUUCGGCAGUGGCGGUAGAGCUCUAAUUGGACUCGCGGCCCUACCAGGUUAGCAACUCCAGUUAAACUGCAAAUGCCAUUGUCUUAAGCAUGGGAGUCAGUCAGUAGGGGAUAAGCUCUAUUGACGAAAGGGAAACAGCCCAGAUCACCAGCUAAGGUCCCUAAAUACACGCUAAGUGGUAAAGGAUGUUUUGUUGCUGAGACAGCCAGGAUGUUGGCGUAGAAGUGGCAACCAUUUAAAGAGUGUGUAAUAACUCACUGGUUGAGCGAUUUUGCACCGAAAAUUUCCGGGGCUAAGUGUAUUACCGAAGCUGUGGAUAUCUAUCUCAUUAGGUAUGUAGGUUAAGUGCCUACUUUGACCGCAUCACUCAAUAUUUGAGAAGCUGCGGAUGCCUAUUCUAAAUAGAUAUGGUAGGGGAGCGUUCUAUAGUAGGACUGAAGGAGAAUCGUAAGGCGCUCUGGACGAAUUAGAAGUGAUUAUGCCGGCAUGAGUAGCGAUAAAACAAGUUAGAAGCUUGUUCGCCGAAAGCCUAAGGGUUCCUGGGCAAGGUAAUUCCGCCCAGGGUUAGUCGGAUCCUAAGCCGAGGCCGAAAGGCGUAGGCGAUGGGAAGCAGGCGUAAUAUUCCUGCACCACCAUGACUAGUAUGAAACUAGGGGAGACGCAAGCAUUAGGAACUACCAGCUGAUGGAAAUGCUGGGUUAAGCCCGACGGAGUGCACCAGGCAAAUCCGGUGCAAUAUACUCUGAGAGGUGAACAGGAUUCCUUUUGGAUGCAAACUGUUCUGGUUGCUUGCCAAGAAAAGAACCUCGAGUGGACGACUCAUGGUGACCGUACCGUAAACCGACACAGGUAGGCGAGGAGAGAAUCCUCAGGCGCUCGAGAGAACUCUCGCUAAGGAACUCGGCAAAAUGACCCCGUAACUUCGGGAGAAGGGGUGCUUUGAGUAAGUGCCGCGUUUCGACGCGAUACUGAAAAAAGCCGCAGUGAAAUGGCCCGUGCGACUGUUUACUAAAAACACAGGUCUCUGCUAAAUCGUAAGAUGAUGUAUAGGGACUGACGCCUGCCCGGUGCCAAAAAGUUAAGGUGAGGAGUCAAGGGUAACCGGACGCUCCGAACUGAAGCUCUGGUAAACGGCGGCCGUAACUAUAACGGUCCUAAGGUAGCGAAAUUCCUCGUCGGGUAAAUUCCGACCUGCACGAAUGGCGUAACGAUAUGGGCACUGUCUCGGC